Non-coding RNA from Chlorocebus sabaeus (green monkey), 815 nucleotides. NCBI's taxonomy places the organism in Eukaryota, Metazoa, Chordata, Mammalia, Primates, Cercopithecidae. The record is from RefSeq and is a predicted model, not a curated record.
GGCUGUGUGUUCCAGAAGUCUGAUACCAUGGACCGCAUCACCUUGGCUUCCUGGCUGUCUGGUUAGUGAUUUGAGCAAUGAGAGGCAGCAGCUAGAAAUGAAAGAGUAGAAGAAGAGAGUGUCUCCUGACACUGUGUGCAUGGUCUCCACUCAGCCUCAGAUUCCUGUAAGUCAGCUGCAUCCAGAUUUCCACCGGCUUCCCCGUCCCGAGAAGGUUACAUUUGGCCGCCACUAAGAUCUGAGAAAAACCUCUUCAGAGGAAUUUUGGCCAAAUCUUCUCUCCCUGUUCUACAGCCACUUUCCUUCUGAAUUUCUUACUUUCCCAGGGCCUGAUUGGUUCAGUACCAAGUGAAGUCAUAGUUACUAUGGUGACUCACAAUUGCCUUCAGAACCUAGUGCAGAUUCAAACACUGGCCACCAUCCCUGGCUUCCUUCUGGUUCACGCCUGAAUAAGGUCUCUCUUCUGUGCUGUCUUCCUGAAGCCAUCUGUGGAGUCAAGCAGUCAUGGCUCAGGCACACUCUGAAGCUGGUCCCAGCACAUCUGCACGGAGCAUCAGGAGAAAGGCGGACGAAUACGUGAGACCCAGCCUGGCCUCUAAAUCUGUGCUGAGUGUCUUACUCAGUAGACAGCUUGGGAAUCAUAGAAACGAUGUGGAUCUGACAGAGUGGCUGUGGACACUGACACAAACCACACCAGGGUGGACCUGGCCUUUGCCAACACGCCAUACAAUCAACCCACCUUUGCACCCUGGGGAGGAUAGAAAAUCCAAGAAAAUGGUGUGGAUCAAUAAAUCCUUCCCCUGAUGCAACCAUUA